GAUGAACGCUGGCGGCGUGCCUAAUACAUGCAAGUCGAGCGAAUGGAUUAAGAGCUUGCUCUUAUGAAGUUAGCGGCGGACGGGUGAGUAACACGUGGGUAACCUGCCCAUAAGACUGGGAUAACUCCGGGAAACCGGGGCUAAUACCGGAUAACAUUUUGAACCGCAUGGUUCGAAAUUGAAAGGCGGCUUCGGCUGUCACUUAUGGAUGGACCCGCGUCGCAUUAGCUAGUUGGUGAGGUAACGGCUCACCAAGGCAACGCUGCGUAGCCGACCUGAGAGGGUGAUCGGUCACACUGGGACUGAGACACGGCCCAGACUCCUACGGGAGGCAGCAGUAGGGAAUCUUCCGCAAUGGACGAAAGUCUGACGGAGCAACGCCGCGUGAGUGAGGAAGGCUUUCGGGUCGUAAAACUCUGUUGUUAGGGAAGAACAAGUGCUAGUUGAAUAAGCUGGCACCUUGACGGUACCUAACCAGAAAGCCACGGCUAACUACGUGCCAGCCGCCGCAGUAA
This 515-nucleotide ribosomal RNA is filed under the name uncultured bacterium. RNAcentral describes it as "partial 16S ribosomal RNA". It matches the Rfam family "Bacterial small subunit ribosomal RNA", at positions 28 to 523 of the family's 1533-position model. The record is from RNAcentral.